This 492-nucleotide ribosomal RNA is filed under the name uncultured bacterium. RNAcentral describes it as "partial 16S ribosomal RNA". It matches the Rfam family "Bacterial small subunit ribosomal RNA", at positions 29 to 507 of the family's 1533-position model. The record is from RNAcentral.
AGUGAACGCUGGCGGUAGGCCUAACACAUGCAAGUCGAACGGCAGCACAGUAAGAGCUUGCUCUUACGGGUGGCGAGUGGCGGACGGGUGAGGAAUACAUCGUAAUCUACUUUUUCGUGGGGGAUAACGUAGGGAAACUUACGCUAAUACCGCAUACGACCUACGGGUUAAAGCAGGGGAUCUUCGGACCUUGCGCGAUUGAAUGAGCCGAUGUCGGAUUAGCUAGUUGGCGGGGUAAAGGCCCACCAAGGCGACGAUCCGUAGCUGGACUGAGAGGAUGAUCAGCCACACUGGAACUGAGACACGGUCCAGACUCCUACGGGAGGCAGCAGUGGGGAAUAUUGGACAAUGGGCGCAAGCCUGAUCCAGCCAUACCGCGUGGGUGAAGAAGGCCUUCGGGUUGUAAAGCCCUUUUGUUGGGAAAGAAAAGCAGCAGGUUAAUACCCCGCUGUUCUGACGGUACCCAAAGAAUAAGCACCGGCUAACUUCGUG